RNAcentral lists this long non-coding RNA (293 nucleotides) under Naja naja (Indian cobra). Its description in RNAcentral is "lncRNA (ENSNNAG00000009977.1)". Lineage: Eukaryota; Metazoa; Chordata; Lepidosauria; Squamata; Elapidae. The record is from RNAcentral.
AUUUCCAAAAAAUAAGUAUACUCUUAAUUAACUGUGUGAUAUUUUUUUUCUCUUUCAACAGAGGGCACCCCGGUAGGAAAUUCUGCACCGUGAUGGGUAAAGCUCUCAGCUUUAUCUUCUGUGCUUCGUUCCUUUUGCUUGGACAACCUAAAUGGACAGAGUUAGCGUGGAGCUUCGCUAGCAGUGGUGGGGUUCUUCCGUCCCAAGGACUGGCCCAUAGAUUUCCACUGCUCUCCUCUCCUCUGCCUUCUGCUCAUUAGGCACUGGACCGAGCUGUUCCUCUUCUUCAUCAG